Homo sapiens (human) is the source of this 112-nucleotide unclassified non-coding RNA. It matches the Rfam family "Y RNA". From Rfam's summary of the family: Y RNAs are components of the Ro ribonucleoprotein particle (Ro RNP), in association with Ro60 and La proteins. The record is from Ensembl. Lineage: Eukaryota; Metazoa; Chordata; Mammalia; Primates; Hominidae.
GGGUGUUCCGAAGGUAGUGCCUUAUCUCAACUGAUUGUUCACAAUCAGUUACAGAUCAAACUCCUUGUUCUGCUCCUUCUCCCUUCUCACUACUGCACUUGACCAGUCUUUA